UACGUAGGGGGCAAGCGUUGUCCGGAUUUAUUGGGCGUAAAGAGCGUGUAGGCGGCUUGGUAGGUCCGCUGUGAAAACUCGAGGCUCAACCUCGAGAUGUCGGCGGAAACCACUUGGCUAGAGUCCGGAAGAGGAGAGUGGAAUUCCCGGUGUAGCGGUGAAAUGCGCAGAUAUCGGGAAGAACACCUAUGGCGAAGGCAGCUCGCUGGGACGUUACUGACGCUGAGACGCGAAAGCGUGGGGAGCAAACAGG
This 253-nucleotide ribosomal RNA is filed under the name uncultured bacterium. RNAcentral describes it as "partial 16S ribosomal RNA". It matches the Rfam family "Bacterial small subunit ribosomal RNA", at positions 524 to 776 of the family's 1533-position model. The record is from RNAcentral.